This is a long non-coding RNA of Quercus lobata, 621 nucleotides long. RefSeq lists it as uncharacterized. Lineage: Eukaryota; Viridiplantae; Streptophyta; Magnoliopsida; Fagales; Fagaceae. The record is from RefSeq and is a predicted model, not a curated record. The transcript has 2 exons.
UUGGGAAAAACGACUUGUAGCACAGUAUUUUUUGCAAUUUUGUUUGUCGUCUUUGCAAGAGAGUGACCCCGAGAGACACAGAGGACAGAGCAAAUGAAAAAAAGAAAAAAGAAAAAAAGGCGUUUUGGGGGCUGAGACUUUCUCAGAGUGAUGGAGAUAGUGAAGAAAGUCAAGACUCAAGAAACACGAUUUGGAAUGAAGCAGUCCUGAGGGCAUGUGGAGAACCACCACUUUUGAAAACUGCAGUUUUUGGUGCUGCUGGAAUUAAAGAGAAAUGGCAUUAGCACCCAGUCUUAACCUGCAAAGUGAGUGAGUACACGAGAUAAGUACAAAGAAAGCCCUUUGAUUUCAAGUUUUGGGCAGCUAGAUCCAUAUUAUCUCUAGAAAGUAUAAAGAAUUAGUCACUCUGUACAAAACUUCAUUGUCUCCCACUUUUUGACAUAAAGCACAAAAAAUUGAAAAAUAGACCAGGCAGCUUAGGGCUUGCUAGGGAAAUGUCAAAAAGGAGGUAGUGAUUACUUCUGGAUGAAGUUACCAUUAUGACAAUGAUGUGAAUUUUGAAGGAACCAAAAUUUCCUCAAUUUGCAGAUUGGAUUUCUAAUGUCUGAUUGUUGAAAUGUU